AGUGAACGCUGGCGGUAGGCCUAACACAUGCAAGUCGAACGGCAGCACAGUAAGAGCUUGCUCUUACGGGUGGCGAGUGGCGGACGGGUGAGGAAUACAUCGGAAUCUACUUUUUCGUGGGGGAUAACGUAGGGAAACUUACGCUAAUACCGCAUACGACCUACGGGUGAAAGCAGGGGAUCUUCGGACCUUGCGCGAUUGAAUGAGCCGAUGUCGGAUUAGCUAGUUGGCGGGGUAAAGGCCCACCAAGGCGACGAUCCGUAGCUGGUCUGAGAGGAUGAUCCGCCACCCUGGAACUGAGACACGGUCCAGACUCCUACGGGAGGCAGCAGUGGGCAAUAUUGGACAAUGGGCGCAAGCCUGAUCCAGCCAUACCGCGUGGGUGAAGAAGGCCUUCGGGUUGUAAAGCCCUUUUGUUGGGAAAGAAAAGCAGCAGGUUAAUACCCCGCUGUUCUGACGGUACCCAAAGAAUAAGCACCGGCUAACUUCGUG
RNAcentral lists this ribosomal RNA (492 nucleotides) under uncultured bacterium. RNAcentral describes it as "partial 16S ribosomal RNA". It matches the Rfam family "Bacterial small subunit ribosomal RNA", at positions 29 to 507 of the family's 1533-position model. The record is from RNAcentral.